This 253-nucleotide unclassified non-coding RNA is filed under the name Hevea brasiliensis (rubber tree). The record is from RNAcentral. Lineage: Eukaryota; Viridiplantae; Streptophyta; Magnoliopsida; Malpighiales; Euphorbiaceae.
GUUCGUCUUGGCUACAUAUUAUCACAAUUUGGUAGUCUGGAUUCAACAUAUGAGUGGUCCAGUGUUCUUUCCCUUGGAGAGCAGCAACGCCUUGCUUUUGCGCGACUAUUGCUUUCAAAACCAAAGCUGGUUCUAUUAGAUGAAUCUACCAGUGCUUUAGAUGAAGUCAAUGAGGCACAUCUGUACCGGCAAAUUGAAGCAGCAGGCAUAACCUAUGUUAGCGUUGGCCACAGACGUACCUCAUUGACUUCAU